This 162-nucleotide ribosomal RNA is filed under the name Escherichia coli. Its description in RNAcentral is "partial 16S ribosomal RNA". It matches the Rfam family "Bacterial small subunit ribosomal RNA", at positions 1 to 156 of the family's 1533-position model. Lineage: Bacteria; Pseudomonadati; Pseudomonadota; Gammaproteobacteria; Enterobacterales; Enterobacteriaceae. The record is from RNAcentral.
AAAUUGAAGAGUUUGAUCAUGGCUCAGAUUGAACGCUGGCGGCAGGCCUAACACAUGCAAGUCGGGCGGUAGCACAGAGGAGCUUGCUCCUUGGGUGACGAGCGGCGGACGGGUGAGUAAAGUCUGGGGAUCUGCCUGAUGGAGGGGGAUAACUACUGGAAA